This 69-nucleotide transfer RNA is filed under the name Leptopelis vermiculatus (vermiculated tree frog). Its description in RNAcentral is "tRNA-Arg". Lineage: Eukaryota; Metazoa; Chordata; Amphibia; Anura; Arthroleptidae. The record is from RNAcentral.
GAAAGGUUAGUCUAAUAAAGACAGUUAAUUUCGACUUAACUAAUUAUGGUUUAACCCCAUAACCAUUCU